GUGUCUUCUGCCUGUUCUGAGGGAUGUGUUCUUUGUUCCGUUCCGAAGUUGUUCAUGGACUGCUUCAUUUUCUUCUCAAGUGGUCUGACUGGCCCUUGGGUGUAGCCGUGCCUCUUUGCCUGUUCAACGAUGUGUUCGGUUUCCUCCUUGUAAUCGUUCGGAUCGGUACAGUGGAUUGUCGCUCGACGCACGUGCGUUCUGGGUGCCGCUUUCUUGUGUUUCAUUGGGUCUUUUGACCAAGCUGGUGUGGGGGCGGGUGCAAGACUGGGCUUUUGGUGUGCACUCGGCUUAUGCGUGGGGCCU
This 303-nucleotide long non-coding RNA is filed under the name Androctonus crassicauda. Lineage: Eukaryota; Metazoa; Arthropoda; Arachnida; Scorpiones; Buthidae. The record is from RNAcentral.